Molecule: ribosomal RNA, 440 nt
Filed under: uncultured bacterium
Lineage: Bacteria
Description: partial 16S ribosomal RNA
Rfam family: Bacterial small subunit ribosomal RNA
Source: RNAcentral
CCUACGGGAGGCAGCAGUGGGGGAUAUUGCACAAUGGGGGAAACCCUGAUGCAGCGACGCCGCGUGUAGGAAGACGGUCCUCUGGAUUGUAAACUACUGUCCCCAGGGACGAAGAUGACGGUACCUGGGGAGGAAGCUCCGGCUAACAACGUGCCAGCCGCCGCGGUAAUACGUAGGGCGCGAGAGUUGUCCGGAAUUACGGGGGGAAAGGGGAGCGUAGGCGGGGAUGCAAGUUGGGUGUUAAAUCUACCGGCUCAACUGGUAGUCGCACUCAAAACUGCAGCUCUUGAGUGAAGUAGAGGCAGGUGGAAUUCCUAGUGUAGCGGUGAAAUGCGUAGAUAUUAGGAGGAACACCAGUGGCGAAGGCGGCCUGCUGGGCUUUUACUGACGCUGAGGCUCGAAAGUGUGGGGAGCAAACAGGAUUAGAUACCCCAGUAGUC